CAUGCAAGUCGAGCGGUAAUUCCCUUCGGGUUACACGAGCGGCGAACGGGUGAGUAACACGUGAGCAAUCUGCCCUCCACAUCGGGAUAACCCCCGGAAACGGGAGCUAAUACCGGAUACGACCACUUCAGGCAUCUGAUGGUGGUGGAAAGUUCUGGCGGUGGAGGAUGAGCUCGCGGCCUAUCAGCUUGUUGGUGGGGUAAUGGCCCACCAAGGCUUCGACGGGUAGCCGGCCUGAGAGGGUGACCGGCCACACUGGGACUGAGACACGGCCCAGACUCCUACGGGAGGCAGCAGUGGGGAAUAUUGGACAAUGGGCGAAAGCCUGAUCCAGCAACGCCGCGUGAGGGAUGACGGCCUUCGGGUUGUAAACCUCUUUCAGCGCAGACGAAGCGAAAGUGACGGUAUGCGCAGAAGAAGCACCGGCCAACUACGUGCCAGCAGCCGCGGUAAUACGUAGGGUGCGAGCGUUGUCCGGAAUUAUUGGGCGUAAAGGGCUCGUAGGCGGUCUGUUGCGUCAGGAGUGAAAACUCGGGGCUUAACCCCGAGCCUGCUUCUGAUACGGGCAGACUAGAGGUAUGCAGUGGAGAACGGAAUUCCUGGUGUGGCGGUGAAAUGCGCAGAUAUCAGGAGGAACACCGGUGGCGAAGGCGGUUCUCUGGGCAUUACCUGACGCUGAGGAGCGAAAGUGUGGGGAGCGAACAGGAUUAGAUACCCUGGUAGUCCACACCGUAAACGUUGGGCGCUAGGUGUGGGGCUCAUUCCACGAGUUCCGUGCCGCAGCUAACGCAUUAAGCGCCCCGCCUG
RNAcentral lists this ribosomal RNA (807 nucleotides) under uncultured bacterium. RNAcentral's name for it is "bacterial SSU rRNA". It matches the Rfam family "Bacterial small subunit ribosomal RNA", at positions 54 to 875 of the family's 1533-position model. The record is from RNAcentral.